This 253-nucleotide ribosomal RNA is filed under the name uncultured bacterium. RNAcentral's name for it is "partial 16S ribosomal RNA". It matches the Rfam family "Bacterial small subunit ribosomal RNA", at positions 524 to 776 of the family's 1533-position model. The record is from RNAcentral.
UACGGAGGGUGCAAGCGUUGUUCGGAAUCACUGGGCGUAAAGCGCGUGUAGGCGGUCAUCUAAGUCUGGUGUGAAAGCCCGGGGCUCACCCCCGGAAGUGCACUGGAGACUGAAUGGCUUGAGUACCGGAGAGGAGGGUGGAAUUCCUGGUGUAGCGGUGAAAUGCGUAGAUAUCAGGAGGAACACCGGUGGCGAAGGCGGCCCUCUGGACGGCUACUGACGCUGAGAAGCGAAAGCGUGGGGAGCAAACAGG